Molecule: ribosomal RNA, 324 nt
Filed under: uncultured eukaryote
Lineage: Eukaryota
Description: partial 18S ribosomal RNA
Rfam family: Eukaryotic small subunit ribosomal RNA
Source: RNAcentral
CCCUUAGAUGUUCUGGGCCGCAUGCGCGCUACACUGAUGCAUUCAACGAGUUUCUUCCUGGUCCGAGAGGAAUGGGUAACCUUUUGAAAGUGCAUCGUGAUAGGGAUAGACUAUUGCAAUUAUUGGUCUUCAACGAGGAAUUCCUAGUAGACGUAGUUCAUCAGACUGCAUCGAUUACGUCCCUGCCCUUUGUACACACCGCCCGUCGCUCCCACCGAUUGAAUGCUCAGGUGAGCCAUUCGGACUUUCAUCAUGCUGGUUUCCAGUUUUGAUGAAGGAAAGUCUUGCGAACCUUAUCAUUUAGAGGAAGGAGAAGUCGUAACA